RNAcentral lists this transfer RNA (65 nucleotides) under Glomeridesmus spelaeus. RNAcentral's name for it is "tRNA-Asn". Lineage: Eukaryota; Metazoa; Arthropoda; Diplopoda; Glomeridesmida; Glomeridesmidae. The record is from RNAcentral.
UUAAACGUAACCUAUAAUUAAGGUUAAUCACUGUUAAUGAUUUAAAGAUAAAUUAUCCGUUUAAG